Molecule: long non-coding RNA, 442 nt
Filed under: Phaseolus vulgaris (common bean)
Lineage: Eukaryota; Viridiplantae; Streptophyta; Magnoliopsida; Fabales; Fabaceae
Description: long non-coding RNA (PVUL_LNC000860)
Source: RNAcentral
UUUCACGUACGAUUACAUAAAAUAUAAAAUAGGAAAAAUGUCCUCUGACCAACAAUCUUUUUCAAAUCCCAGAGUCACCAUUUUGGCCAUGGCAAUCCAGAUUCAAAGCAGAAACAAGUCUCACCAUAUUUAACUGCAGCUUUAUUAUAAUUAUUCGUGAUCUGUGAAGCUUACUUAGUAGCAGAAGCUGCAGCUGCAUCUGCAUCCUUCUUCAUGUUCUUCAGUGUUAUCUUCCUCCAAGCCCACGCAAGCAUGUUCUUCACCACCCAUUUCUUGCGUCUGCCCCUUCUACUUUUUCCUGUCUACAUAGCAAAAUCAACUCAUCACUUUGAACAGAUGGAUAUGAGUACUGUCCAUGAAGUAGCAGCAGAGGUUAACGAGACAGUAUUAGAAGUAAGAAAAUAAACGUUAGAAGUGACCUUAUUCUUGGUCUCAUCGCCGG